CACGCUGUAAACGAUGAGUGCUAGGUGUCGGUAGUCAAAUAUCGGUGCCGUAGUUAACGCAAUAAGCACUCCGCCUGGGGAGUACGUGCGCAAGCAUGAAACUCAAAGGAAUUGACGGGGACCCGCACAAGCAGCGGAGCAUGUGGUUUAAUUCGAAGCAACGCGAAGAACCUUACCAGGGCUUGACAUCCUCGGACGACACUAGAGAUAGUGUUUUCUCUUCGGAGACUGAGAGACAGGUGG
This 243-nucleotide ribosomal RNA is filed under the name uncultured Peptoniphilus sp. Its description in RNAcentral is "partial 16S ribosomal RNA". It matches the Rfam family "Bacterial small subunit ribosomal RNA", at positions 796 to 1041 of the family's 1533-position model. The record is from RNAcentral. Lineage: Bacteria; Bacillati; Bacillota; Tissierellia; Tissierellales; Peptoniphilaceae.